AAAACGACUCUCGGCAACGGAUAUCUCGGCUCUCGCAUCGAUGAAGAACGUAGCGAAAUGCGAUACUUGGUGUGAAUUGCAGAAUCCCGUGAACCAUCGAGUCUUUGAACGCAAGUUGCGCCCGANGCCAUUAGGCNGAGGGNACGUCUGCCUGGGCGUCACG
This 163-nucleotide ribosomal RNA is filed under the name Clerodendrum speciosissimum. Its description in RNAcentral is "5.8S ribosomal RNA". It matches the Rfam family "5.8S ribosomal RNA". Rfam says of the family: 5.8S ribosomal RNA (5.8S rRNA) is a component of the large subunit of the eukaryotic ribosome. Lineage: Eukaryota; Viridiplantae; Streptophyta; Magnoliopsida; Lamiales; Lamiaceae. The record is from RNAcentral.